This 83-nucleotide transfer RNA is filed under the name Wolbachia endosymbiont of Madathamugadia hiepei. RNAcentral describes it as "tRNA-Leu". It matches the Rfam family "tRNA". Rfam says of the family: Transfer RNA (tRNA) molecules are approximately 80 nucleotides in length. The record is from RNAcentral. Lineage: Bacteria; Pseudomonadati; Pseudomonadota; Alphaproteobacteria; Rickettsiales; Anaplasmataceae.
GCCCCUGUGGUGGAAUGGUAGACACGGCAGACUCAAAAUCUGUUGCUCGCAAAAGCAUGCUGGUUCAAGUCCGGCCAGGGGCA